This 253-nucleotide ribosomal RNA is filed under the name uncultured bacterium. RNAcentral's name for it is "partial 16S ribosomal RNA". It matches the Rfam family "Bacterial small subunit ribosomal RNA", at positions 524 to 776 of the family's 1533-position model. The record is from RNAcentral.
UACGUAGGGCGCAAGCGUUGUCCGGAAUUAUUGGGCGUAAAGCGCGUGUAGGCGGCCCGCUAAGUCUGAUGUGAAAGCCCGGGGCUCACCCCCGGAAGUGCAUUGGAGACUGGCGGGCUCGAGUCCCGGAGAGGAGGGUGGAAUUCCUGGUGUAGCGGUGAAAUGCGUAGAUAUCAGGAGGAACACCGGUGGCGAAGGCGGCCCUCUGGACGGUGACUGACGCUGAGACGCGAAAGCGUGGGGAGCAAACAGG